This 496-nucleotide ribosomal RNA is filed under the name Owenweeksia sp. J2022s. Its description in RNAcentral is "bacterial SSU rRNA". It matches the Rfam family "Bacterial small subunit ribosomal RNA", at positions 210 to 703 of the family's 1533-position model. The record is from RNAcentral. Lineage: Bacteria; Pseudomonadati; Bacteroidota; Flavobacteriia; Flavobacteriales; Owenweeksiaceae.
CUUCGGUGGAUAGGGAUGAGCAUGCGUCCUAUUAGCUAGUUGGUAGUGUAACGGACUACCAAGGCAACGAUAGGUAGGGGGCCUGAGAGGGUGAUCCCCCACACUGGUACUGAGACACGGACCAGACUCCUACGGGAGGCAGCAGUGAGGAAUAUUGGUCAAUGGACGAAAGUCUGAACCAGCCAUGCCGCGUGCAGGAUGACGGCCCUAUGGGUUGUAAACUGCUUUUAUAUGGGAAUAAACCCUCGGACGUGUCCGAGGCUGAAGGUACCAUAAGAAUAAGGACCGGCUAACUCCGUGCCAGCAGCCGCGGUAAUACGGAGGGUCCAAGCGUUAUCCGGAUUUAUUGGGUUUAAAGGGUCCGUAGGCGGGAUAUUAAGUCAGUGGNGAAAGCCNGCAGCUUAACUGUAGCACUGCCAUUGAUACUGGUAUUCUUGAGUAUAGUUGAAGUGGGCGGAAUAUGUCAUGUAGCGGUGAAAUGCAUAGAUAUGACAUA